GUCGCCGUAGGCAAAUGGUUAAGCCGCCUGGUGGUCCGCCAUUAGGAAAUGUGGGUUCGAUUCCCACCGACGGCA
This 75-nucleotide transfer RNA is filed under the name Levilactobacillus namurensis. RNAcentral describes it as "tRNA-OTHER". It matches the Rfam family "tRNA". From Rfam's summary of the family: Transfer RNA (tRNA) molecules are approximately 80 nucleotides in length. Their secondary structure includes four short double-helical elements and three loops (D, anti-codon, and T loops). The record is from RNAcentral. Lineage: Bacteria; Bacillati; Bacillota; Bacilli; Lactobacillales; Lactobacillaceae.